GGACGAACGCUGGCGGCGUGCUUAACACAUGCAAGUCGAACGGGGUUAAGGAGCUUGCUUCUUAACUUAGUGGCGGACGGGUGAGUAACGCGUGAGUAAUCUGCCUUGGAGUGGGGAAUAACACAGAGAAAUUUGUGCUAAUACCGCAUGAUGCAUCUAGGUCGCAUGGCUUUGGAUGCCAAAGAUUUAUCGCUCUAAGAUGAGCUCGCGUCUGAUUAGAUAGUUGGCGGGGUAACGGCCCACCAAGUCGACGAUCAGUAGCCGGACUGAGAGGUUGGCCGGCCACAUUGGGACUGAGACACGGCCCAGACUCCUACGGGAGGCAGCAGUGGGGAAUAUUGGGCAAUGGGCGCAAGCCUGACCCAGCAACGCCGCGUGAAGGAAGAAGGCUUUCGGGUUGUAAACUUCUUUUAUGAGGGACGAUAGUGACGGUACCUCAUGAAUAAGCCACGGCUAACUACGUG
This 464-nucleotide ribosomal RNA is filed under the name uncultured bacterium. RNAcentral describes it as "bacterial SSU rRNA". It matches the Rfam family "Bacterial small subunit ribosomal RNA", at positions 27 to 507 of the family's 1533-position model. The record is from RNAcentral.